Long non-coding RNA from Hibiscus syriacus, 325 nucleotides. RefSeq lists it as uncharacterized. The transcript is spliced from 3 exons. NCBI's taxonomy places the organism in Eukaryota, Viridiplantae, Streptophyta, Magnoliopsida, Malvales, Malvaceae. The record is from RefSeq and is a predicted model, not a curated record.
AGCCACCGGUUCCUUUCUCACAGAAGCUCCCUAACGUGGAUCUUGGGGCUCUUCGCCUACUUGAGCGCUUACUUGCAUUUGAUCCAAAAGAUCGUCCCACAGCUGAAGAAGCAUUAGCUGAUCCAUACUUUUAUGGUUUAGCAAAUGUGGAUCGUGGACCAUCCACUUAACCUAUUUCGAAAUUAGAAUUUGAGUUUGAGAGAAGGAAAUUGGCAACAGAUGAUGUUAGAGAGCUGAUUUAUAGAGAGAUAUUAGAGUAUCAUCCCCAGAUGCUGCAGGAGUACCUCCGCGGUGGGGAUCAUACCAACUUCAUGUACCUUUCAAG